Molecule: long non-coding RNA, 4404 nt
Organism: Orcinus orca (killer whale)
Lineage: Eukaryota; Metazoa; Chordata; Mammalia; Artiodactyla; Delphinidae
Exons: 2
Source: RefSeq, a predicted model, not a curated record
GGGGAUGUGGCAGUUUUCGGUAACCUCCGAUUGAGCUAACUCCAAGAAAACAGGAAAGGGAAUUACUCAGCAGAGAACCUGGCCGCGAUAAAUACUUAAGAAAUGUUAGCUCCUAUUCUUAAAAUGAAGGGCACGCCUCGUCUUCUCCAUGGCUGUGGGGCUGGUGAGGGGGCAGUGGGGAAGGGAGAAGAGGAAAAAGUGAAUUUUUCUCUCUCUACUUAAACUAAAAGCCUACAAAAUUCUUCCAAAUUAUAAGCAGUUAUGAAAAUAAUUUCUCAUGUGCUUUCUAUCGUUCAGCAAUGGAGAAUUGGGGGUGGGGCCAUUAGGGGGUCAUGACUUUUUCAGGGUUCGGCAAAAACUUAGUACCGUUCCCGAAGCCAAGAUGAACCAGAAAUCGGCAGGGGAAAAUAGAUGGCGUCAGAGCUGGUUGUACCCUGGGUGUCCAGGGUGAAGGCUAAAAAUGGUCUCUCCUUUGUGAAGUGUGGCUCAUUAGGAGUUUCCCUCCUCAGGUGGAAAAAAGUAGCAGUUGGAGCUACAGAAAUAGGAGUCACAUGCUGUAGAACAGACACUGUAAUUGAACCUACCCUUAGUAUCUGCUUUAAAAGUCAACAGUUGAGAGAGAAAGUGAUUUAUUGUCAUCAGGCCAAUCAUAGAAUACCUUCAAAACAUUUAAGUAGCACUUCAUUAAAUGGGGAAUAUGGGACAUCUGUUAACACCAACGAUACUUCCUCUUGUCUUACAGGAUGUUCUCUCAGACAUGUUUUGUCAAGGCAAAAUAGCUCAGCUCAGUGUCAGCUGGGCACCUGAGGAAAUAUACUAUCUUAUUCAUCCCACUGAAGCAGUUACAAUUAUUAAAAAAAAAAAAAAAAAGAAUUCCUAUUUAAAUGCAAUAAGUAGCAUUCUGAUUAUUACAUGGACGAAAAGGGCAUGGUAGAUGUCAAUCCAGGGGAUUUUUAUUCUGUGAGAGCCUAAUACUUUCAAAUGAUCAUUCAAUGAAUUGAAGUUUAAAAAUGAAAAAAGUCUUUGAAGAUUAUGUAUGGUCAAGUACUACUGGAGUUGAUGAUGUAACAGAUGAUUAAGUAAACAGAAUAAUUUUUUCUCUCUGGAGAUUCAAACUGGUAUAAGGCAAUGGAUAACAAAGGCAAAACAAAAAACAAAAGAAGAACCAAAACAACUGAACAGGCAUACCUGUUUUUCUCCAUGAGACUGAGUGAAGUGGGUAACAGCACUCUAAGCAAACUGAAAGGCUAUAAGAAUCUUGGAAGCACUAUAAUGAAGAAGAAAUGUACCAGAACACUAAAAAUAGAUAACUAUGGUCUCAAAUUUCAAAAGAAGGGGAAAGAUGGAUUUUGCAACAUUAGAAAAGAUGCAUAUUCCUGUUAUGAACUGAAUGUUUGUGCCCUCCCCUCAAUUCAUCAGUUGAGCCUCUCCCUGUGUGAUGGUUCAUCAGUUGAGCCUCUCCCUGUGUGAGGUGGGGGCCUUUGGGAAGUAAUUAGGAUUAGGUGAGGUGAGGAGGGUGAGGCACUCAUGAGUGGAAUUAGUGCCCUUAUAAAAAAACCCAGAGAGCUCUCUCACUCUUUCUACUAUUCGAGGAUACAGUGAGAAGUUGGAAGUCUGAAACCUGGAAGAGGGCUCUAACCAGAACCCAACCAUGCUGGCACCCUGAUUUUGAAUUUCUAACCUCCAGGACUUUGAGAAAUAAAUUUGUAUUGUUUGUAAGCCACCCAAUCAAUCUAUGGUAAUCUGUUAUAGUAGCCUGAACUAAAUCACUACCAAGCUAAAUCUAGCACAUCUCCCUCGGAAAAGGAAGAGUAAACACCAGUAAUUAUUUUUAUUAAAAGCCAAUUAUGUUGGACGAACUUGACUUUCUUUUCCAUUCCUUCAAUCAGGUGUAUUUAUGAGGUGCCUCAACAUGUGGCAAGGGUUGCUCUAAGCACUAAGGGUACAGCAGUGAACAAGACAAACCAAAUGUCUGCUUUCCUGGAGGGUCCAUUCUCAUGUGUGGAGACACACACAACAAAAUCAAUUAAACAGAUAAACAGAUCUUUUCAGACAGAAAAAAAGAAAAAAAAGGGGUAGGAAGAAAAUGAAGCAGGGCUGUGGGAUGGAGCACAGUUCUCAGCCUUGGCACUGUUGGCCCUUGGGGCUGGAUAAUCCUGUGUCCCACGGGGCGCUCUUGUGAUUGUUGGAUGUGUAGCAGCAUUUGCGACCUCUACCCAUAGAUGGCAGUAGCAUCACCCGAGUUGUGGCAAUCAAAAAUGUCUCCAGGUAUUGCUAGACAUCCCCUAGGUGGGAGGGGCAAACUAGAAUAACUAGUUCUUGAAACUAGUUAUUGAAAACUAGAAUAACUUGGUGGUACAGUUAUUGCUACUGUAGAUGGAGCAGUUAUAGGAGGUCUCUCUGGGGAACCCCAAACCAUGAGAAUAAGCCAGCCAUGUCAGGAGAGUUCUAGACAGAGAGUUACAGCUGGCACUAAAUCACUAAAUUGGAGGAGUCUGGCGGGCAAGACUGAGGGCUGGUAGAGAGAGUGGUCUUAGUGAUCACAGACGUAAGCAGCAACUGGGGGACACAGGGCCUUAGAGACUAUAGUUAAGAAUAAGAAUUUUAUUGCAAAAUAAAUGAGAAGACAUUGGAGGGUUUUAAAAAGAUCGGUAGCAAAAGAAUGAUAUUCUCAUUUGAAAGACUCACUCAAGCCAGUGAAUGGAGAAUGGACUGUAGGACCAGGUUGGCAGGAUGGAGACAGGAGUCUGGUUGAAAGACCCACAUGGGCUGCCCAGGGCAGGGCUGCCACAUAAGGUUGGGUGGAUUGUGUGUGUACUGGGUUGAUGGUUUAUAGAUAGGAAACUGGGGCUCAGGUAAGUAGUUAUACUCAGCUAGUUACAUUAUAAUAAAGUUGAGAAGGAGGCCACCUCCAAUAUGGUUAGAUGAAAGAUCCAGGUCUGACAAACAAUUCCAGUCUCCAAUUUCCCUCUUGCCCUGGAAUUGGAAGUUAGCAGUAAGGAAAUGUAUCAUGGCACUCCAUGAACUUGUAGUUCAGUUAUGGACAUGUUGGCAGAAGUAAAUGGUGAUUGGUGCUCAGUGGCAAAAACAGGGACCUCUGAGAUAAAUAGAAAGAACACGAAACAUACGAACAAGAAGAAAGCCAGUAUAGCAAUAUUAAUAUCAGGGAGAAAAAAGAGACGAAAGCAAAAUUUAAUAAAGUAGAAAACAAGCAAACAAAAACAAAAGGAAAAGAUUAACGAAACCAAAUCUAGUUAUUAGAAAAGACUAAUAAUAUGAACCCAUCUCUAGAAAGAUUGAACAAGGAAAAAAGAGAGAUGAUACAAAUAGAUAAUAUUAGGAAUAAAAGAAUUACAUAACUAACUACAGAUAUAGUAGAGAUUGAAAACUAGUAAGAGAAUAUGAACAAUUUUAUUCCAAAACCUUUGAAAACUUUGAUGAACAAUUUUCUAGAAAAAUAUUAAAUAGCAAAGUUGAUGCAGAAAGAAUUAGAAAACCUGAACAGACCAGUAAUCAUUAAGAAAUCACAUUACUAGUAAAAUAUCUAUCCCCCAAAUAAGGAAUAGGCACAGACAAUUCUAUAAAUAUUACCUAAUUCUCACGUAUUAGAGAAACCCCUUGGCUUAUACAAGUUAUUCUGAAGAACAGAAGAAAAGGAAGACUCCCUAGUUCAUUUUAUGGUGUCAGUACAACUUUGACUCCUAAACCAGACAAGAGCUUGUGUGAUGAAGGAAAAUCAUAGGCCAGUGUCAAUUAGGAAAAUCUAAAUUAUUUCCCAUGGUAGAGGGAAACUAAAUACUGCACUGAAGUUUCUAAAAUUCACCCGUCUAAAUGACUUCACCAUCCCCCUUUCAAUUUAUAUUUGACUUUAAGUUACAACUUCAGUAUAAAUGCUGUUUAAGGUAGUCUGGGAUAUAAAGAUGUAUAAGCCUCAAGUGGCUUACAUCCAGAUAGGUUAAGAGAGUCUCUAGUAAAUAUAACAUGAGGCAGAAUGUGAGGACGGCCACAAAAAGGUUCAAAGUACAAUGAGAUUCAGGAGAUGGAGGGAUUCCUUCUGUUUGAUAAGACUGGAGAAUGUUUUAGGAAGGAAGAGACAUUUGGUCUGGGUCUUAAAUGAAGAGUGGAAUUUCAAUAUGCAGGAAACAAGAUGGAGGAGCAAGGAAUUAAAAGAGGUGCCAAGGGCCUCCCCUGGUGGCGCAGUGGUUGAGAGUCCGCCUGCCGAUGCAGGGGACACAGGUUCGUGCCCCGGUCCGGGAAGAUCCCACAUGCCGCGGAGCGGCUGUGCCCGUGAGCCAUGGCCGCUGAGCCUGCGCGUCUGGAGCCUGUGCUCUGUAACGGGAGAGGCCACAACAGUGAGAGGCCCGCGUAACGCAAAAAAAAAAAAAAAAAAAAGACCACCAAAAA